Molecule: non-coding RNA, 107 nt
Organism: Capsicum annuum
Lineage: Eukaryota; Viridiplantae; Streptophyta; Magnoliopsida; Solanales; Solanaceae
Source: Rfam
UGAUGAUGGUGAUGGCAAUUUCUAAGCUUACUAUUAAAUCUCUCCCAAGCUUGGUAGAAAUUCUCUUCUUCUUUCUAUCUAAAGCUCCAAAUAUCACUUCUCAAACA